UACGAAGGGGGCUAGCGUUGCUCGGAAUUACUGGGCGUACAGCGCGCGUAGGCGGGUCGUUAAGUCGGGGGUGAAAUCCUGGAGCUCAACUCCAGAACUGCCUUCGAUACUGGCGAUCUUGAGUCCGGGAGAGGUGAGUGGAACUCCGAGUGUAGAGGUGAAAUUCGUAGAUAUUCGGAAGAACACCAGUGGCGAAGGCGGCUCACUGGCCCGGUACGGACGCUGAGGUGCGAAAGCGUGGGGAGCAAACAGG
Molecule: ribosomal RNA, 253 nt
Filed under: uncultured bacterium
Lineage: Bacteria
Description: partial 16S ribosomal RNA
Rfam family: Bacterial small subunit ribosomal RNA
Source: RNAcentral